GACGAACGCUGGCGGCGUGCUUAACACAUGCAAGUCGAACGGAAAGGCCCUGCUUUUGUGGGGUGCUCGAGUGGCGAACGGGUGAGUAACACGUGAGUAACCUGCCCUUGACUUUGGGAUAACUUCAGGAAACUGGGGCUAAUACCGGAUAGGAGCUCCUGCUGCAUGGUGGGGGUUGGAAAGUUUCGGCGGUUGGGGAUGGACUCGCGGCUUAUCAGCUUGUUGGUGGGGUAGUGGCUUACCAAGGCUUUGACGGGUAGCCGGCCUGAGAGGGUGACCGGCCAAAUGGGGAUGGGGAAACGGCCCAAGCCCCGACGGGGGGAAGGGGGGGGAAAAUUUGCAAAAGGGGGGGAAGCCGGAGGCAGAAACGCCGGGGGGGGGAGGACGGCCUUGGGGUUGAAAACCGGUUUCGCCUGGGACGAAGGGGAGGGGAGGGAAAUGGGAAAAAAAGCACCGGCAAACUAGGG
RNAcentral lists this ribosomal RNA (467 nucleotides) under uncultured bacterium. Its description in RNAcentral is "partial 16S ribosomal RNA". It matches the Rfam family "Bacterial small subunit ribosomal RNA", at positions 28 to 506 of the family's 1533-position model. The record is from RNAcentral.